Non-coding RNA from Peromyscus maniculatus bairdii (prairie deer mouse), 851 nucleotides. NCBI's taxonomy places the organism in Eukaryota, Metazoa, Chordata, Mammalia, Rodentia, Cricetidae. The record is from RefSeq and is a predicted model, not a curated record.
AUCUGUGUGCAAUUUCUAGAAGAGAUGGGUUAGGAAGUGAGCUGGUGCCUCCCCCAGGCCCAUUCCAGGGGUGCCCUGACGCACACCCCGCCACCGGUCUCUUCUGAGGAUGGUGUGGCCAUCGGCCAGCUUCCUCAGCUUUACAGAUGGGCUUCUAGAUUGGCCCUGCAUCCCAGCUACUAAGAGUGGAGGGUGAUAAGCAUGGAUAGAUGCGGGUGUCUGCUGCUGCAGUCUGUCAGCUAACUUCGGGGAGCCAUGGUCUUCAUCUGAGACGCAUCCAGCAGGGGCGGUCUUGAUCUCACUGGAGCUGGGACGCGCACACCUUUCCACAUUGCGGAACACAUUUGUGGGCCCCAGGUCAGCAAGCAGCCUUCUGACCAGCCUUGUCACCAUUGAUUUAGAAUUUAAACCCGGUGGAACCUCAGUUAAUGUCCCUUCAUCCCAACUUUAAAUGACACUAAAUACAUCAGCCACUCGGCUGCAGUAUGGAUGCCCAAAAGGCUCUUCUCUCCACUCCUACAGCGGAUGCUACGUGACGAGCAUCCUCAGUCCACACUUGCAGAGUGGUACGAAACAAGAAAGAACCCCGGAGGGCAGCUAGGUAGCCGUGUGGAGGAUGCGGGCCAGAGGAAAGACCGAGGGAGAAGGGAAAUGGACGUUUUCAGAAGACUUCUAUCUCCACCCCUCCGUAGUUAAAAGAGCACAUUCCAAGUCCUCCUGUUACCCCCAUCUUCCAGAUGGAGAAACUGAGUCCGGAAAAGUUCCAGUAGAUGACCGAGAACCCUCCAGUGGAGACGCGCUGUCCCACCAUGCUUUCUGGUGACUUGUGCUUUGUCUACCACCCUUAAAGC